RNAcentral lists this ribosomal RNA (264 nucleotides) under uncultured archaeon. RNAcentral describes it as "partial 16S ribosomal RNA". It matches the Rfam family "Archaeal small subunit ribosomal RNA", at positions 718 to 982 of the family's 1478-position model. The record is from RNAcentral.
AGUCACUGACAUUAGAUACCCCGGUAGUCCCAGCCGUAAACGAUGUGCGUUAGGUGUAUCGACGACCACGAGUUGUCGAGGUGCCGAAGGGAAACCGUGAAACGUACCGCCUGGGAAGUACGGUCGCAAGGCUGAAACUUAAAGGAAUUGGCGGGGGAGCACCGCAACGGGAGGAGCGUGCGGUUUAAUUGGAUUCAACACCGUAAACUCACCAGGGAAGACUGUUACAUGAAAGCCGAGAUGAAGACUCUGCUAGAUUUUCAG